CAUCUAUUCCUUUCGUCUGGAAAUACUUAUCAUAGAAAUGAAUGUAUUUAGAUGUAUUUUAAUUUUAGAUACAUUCAUUUUUAUAUAUUUGUGUGACAAAUAAUUCUGGACGGAGGAAGUAUUUA
Non-coding RNA from Hordeum vulgare subsp. vulgare (domesticated barley), 125 nucleotides. The record is from Rfam. Lineage: Eukaryota; Viridiplantae; Streptophyta; Magnoliopsida; Poales; Poaceae.